This 1285-nucleotide long non-coding RNA is filed under the name Mytilus galloprovincialis (Mediterranean mussel). Lineage: Eukaryota; Metazoa; Mollusca; Bivalvia; Mytilida; Mytilidae. The record is from RNAcentral.
UGUUGGCCCCAGAUGACUUUUAAAAUGUAUACAUCAUUGAAAAAGUUCCAAAUUAUCUCCCUUUGGUGGAAAAAUGCCAUUUUUUGGCUUUAAAAAUGAAAGAUCUUUUUUAACUCAUCGGUGACCUAUAUUUUUUAAUAUAAUUUCCAUAUAAGCUGUACUUAAACUAAAUUAUUGUAAAAUUUGAGCGAUUUCUGUAAUAAAUUUCUUUUUUUAUUUCGAUAUUACCUUUAUUUCUCCUAUUACUUCAACAGAGAAAAAAAAACACCUUUACAAAAAUGUAUGCUUAUUUCGAAGGCAGAUUGUGAGCGCAAAUGAACGUUGACCCCACUUUUCUAUUUAAUUUUUAUACGACCGCAAAAUUUGAAAAAAAUUUCGUCGUAUAUUGCUAUCACGUUGGCGUCGUCGUCUGCGUCGUCGUCGUCCGAAUACUUUUAGUUUUCGCACUCUAACUUUAGUAAAAGUGAAUGGAAAUCUAUGAAAUUUUAACACAAGGUUUAUGACCACAAAAGGAAGGUUGGUAUUGAUUUUGGGAGUUUUGGUCCCAACAUUUUAGGAAUUAGGGGCCAAAAAGGGCCCAAAUAAGCAUUUUCUUGGUUUUCGCACUAUAACUUUAGUUUAAGUUAAUAGAAAUCUAUGAAAUUUUGACACAAGGUUUAUGACCACAAAAGAACGGUUGGGAUUGAUUUUGGGAGUUUUGGCUUCAACAGUUUAGGAAUUAGGGGCCAAAAAAGGGCCCAAAUAAGCAUUAUUCUUGGUUUUCGCACAAUAACUUUAGUUUAAGUAAAUAGAAAUCAAUGAAAUUUAAACACAAUGUUAAUGACUACAAAAGGAAGGUUGGUAUUGAUUUUGAGAGUUUAGGUCCCAACAGUUUAGGAAUUAGGGGCCAAAAAGGGACCCAAAUAAGCAUUUUUCUUGGUUUUCGCACCAUAACGUUAGUAUAAGUAAAUAGAAAUCUAUGAUAUUUAAACACAAGGUUUAUGACCAUAAAAGGAAGGUUGGUAUUGAUUUUGGGAGUUUUGGUCCCAACAGAAUAAGGGACCCAAAGGGUCCAAAAUUAAACUUUGUUUGAUUUCAUCAAAAUUGAAUAAUUGGGGUUCUUUGAUAUGCCGAAUCUAACUGUGUAUGUAGAUUCUUAACUUUUGGUCCCUUUUUCAAAUUGGUCUACAUUAAGGUCCAAAGGGUCCAAAUUAAACUUAGUUUGAUUUUGACAAAAAAUGAAUCAGUUAGGUUCUUUGAUAUGCUGAAUCUAAAAAUGUACUUAGAUUCUUGAUUAUUGGCCCAG